Molecule: ribosomal RNA, 253 nt
Filed under: uncultured bacterium
Lineage: Bacteria
Description: partial 16S ribosomal RNA
Rfam family: Bacterial small subunit ribosomal RNA
Source: RNAcentral
UACAGGGGGUGCAAACGUUGCUCGGAAUUAUUGGGCGUAAAGCGCGCGUAGGCGGCUACUUAAGUCGAAUGUGAAAGCCCUUGGCUCAACUGAGGAAGUGCGCCCGAAACUGCAGAGCUUGAGUGCCGGAGAGGGUGGCGGAAUUCCCCAAGUAGAGGUGAAAUUCGUAGAUAUGGGGAGGAACACCGGUGGCGAAGGCGGCCACCUGGACGGUAACUGACGCUGAGACGCGAAAGCGUGGGGAGCAAACAGG